Long non-coding RNA from Hippocampus comes (tiger tail seahorse), 138 nucleotides. RefSeq lists it as uncharacterized. The record is from RefSeq and is a predicted model, not a curated record. The transcript is spliced from 3 exons. NCBI's taxonomy places the organism in Eukaryota, Metazoa, Chordata, Actinopteri, Syngnathiformes, Syngnathidae.
CCACUUUCGUCUGCCACCUGUUGUGAUGGGUCCAGCGACACCGAUGCGUUGACGCAUGCGUCGGGCUCACGGAGCAAUCCACAUGUCGGUGCGUGUGCUGCUUCAUGAGAUCACGUGAUCAACACGCGAACUGCGUCG